AUGUGUGCAAUGGGCGGAUGUGUGCUCUUGAUAUGGGAGUGAACAGGAGUCCUCUGACCCCUGAUCACAACAUCUCUCUUCCCCAGUGAAGCUAUCAGGAAGCAGAGCUGGCUGUUAACUUGUAGGCGAUUUCACUAGGCUCCUCCCAGGGGCCUAGCAACGGCAUCAUCAUCUGAUGCUGUUACCUGCUGCUGCCAAGUGCAGGCGACAUUUAAAUCUGUGUGUGUCUCUGUCUCUGUCUCUGUGUCUCUUUUUUCCCCACUCCGGCCUAUCUCUCUCUGUGUCUCCCACCUUCUGUCCUUCUCUGUCCCCUCUUUUCUGCCCCCACGACUCUGUUCCCAUCUGCCUGCCUCUGCCCCUUCUCCAGGCCCUCGCUCCCCUCCCUUCCCUCAAAUAAACCUCCUUUAUGC
This 410-nucleotide long non-coding RNA is filed under the name Rattus norvegicus (Norway rat). Its description in RNAcentral is "long non-coding RNA NONRATT000178". The record is from RNAcentral. Lineage: Eukaryota; Metazoa; Chordata; Mammalia; Rodentia; Muridae.